Molecule: long non-coding RNA, 2222 nt
Organism: Manis pentadactyla (Chinese pangolin)
Lineage: Eukaryota; Metazoa; Chordata; Mammalia; Pholidota; Manidae
Exons: 2
Source: RefSeq, a predicted model, not a curated record
AAUUACAGUUCCCGCAUUUCCUGGGAGUUCUUUGAAAAAUGGCUUCAAAACAUGCUCUGGAUUAAGGGCUACCAUUAUGAAGAAUCCUUCCGGUCCACACUCCCAGUAUAUAACAUUUCACAGACAACUCCAGCACGGUGGGCCAACUUAAAUAAAGAUGUUUAUCCAUCGGUCUCAUUUGAGGGGACAGGGAGUUCUGUAUCUACAUCUGACGGUAGUCGACAGGAUUCCUCUGAACCCGAAAUCUGUCAUAAUGGAUGCAACCUUUGGGAGGGCUGCCCCUAGAAAUGAUGGAGAGAAGUGGCGCUCACGCUGCGGGAUGUGUAUCUACACUCAUGUGGUAAUGGAGGCACCACCACAGCUGCUGGCCACGUCGACCCCGGCCUGUGGCCUGAGCCAAAGGCUGCUGCUGCCGCCACUGCUAUUGCUCCUGCUGCCAGCUGGAGCCUGGUCACAACUAUGGAAAGGAGCAGAGGUCUGGGUCACCUUGAUAGAAGAGCAACUGGCUGCUGUGUACCAUGCCUUGUUUGCUACGGAGCCCAUCAACCAGCUCUGACCAAGGUGAUAAUCACCUAUCCCAUCGCAGGGUGCAAGACUGGACCCAAAGGCCACGGAGUGGCACGGCACAGACACCUGAGUAUCAUGUGACUGGCCAUUUGCUUUUGGCAUCCCCAGGGAAUAAUGAAGCAGAUGCAUUGGCCCAGGUGUGCUGGCUAGAAGGAAAGCCUGCCUCUGAUGUGGCCCAAUGGCUACAUCAGUGUUUGUUGCACAUAGGGCCAGAGACAAUGUGGACUGUAGCCUGUCGGUAGGGCUUGCCAUUGACCUUUGAAGAAGUCAGCCAAGCCCAGGAGUGCCCUGCAUGUUGUGCAGAUCAGCAAACUACCAAGAGGGGCCUAGAGCAUCUCUUUGCAGGCUAUGGCCGGCUGCAGGUGAUUGAGAGCAAUCAAGGCACCCUCUUUACUGGACAUGGGUGCAGCAGUUAGGAAUAAAGUGGAAAUUGCAUGUACCAUAUAAUCCUACUGGGACAGGCAUGACAGAGAGGUACAAUGGUUUGUUGAAAUCUGGCCUUAAGUUGGACACCAAUAGUCUACAGGGUUGGUCAGUUCGCCUAUGGACGGUGCUGCAGCGUUUGAAUGAGAAGCCAUUUAAAGGAGCUUUGAACCCUGUGGAUAUGCUCAUACACCUUGCUGCCUCUCCUGUACAAUUGUAUGUCCAAACCAAAGAAAAGUUAUUGAAGCCAGGAUAUGGCCAGCAGAGUAACAUCCUGCUGCCAGCCCCUACUGCAUUAAACUCUGGAGACACUAUUGAAUGGAUGUGGCCCUGGACAUUUCGACACAUGGACCAGCAAUGGCUGGCCCUUCUGGCACCUUCGGGAAAAGGCCUGGAAACUGGCUUUGUGUGUAUUCCUGGAGUAACAGCAGUGGCCCCCAAAGAUCACGGUAGUGUACCCAAAAUGUCCAGGAGCUAAGAGCAUCUUGCAGGGAAGUUUUGUUUUAUAUUUAUGGCCAGUGCAUGUACCUCUCGACCCAUCUGUAACUCCCACAGAGAGAGGGGUGAGAGUCUGGUAUGCUAGACCAGGGUGAGAUCCCAUUCCUGCCACUGUUGUAUCACAGGACCACUCUUUGCAUGUAUCCUACCUGAUGGACAAGAUUUGCCUAUGCUGGUGUCAUUAAAACGUGUCUUAUUGCCCUUAAGGUUAUUUCCCCCUGUAGUCCUUGUGGCCUGAAUGCGCCCCCUGGCUACAGCUGCUGCAUGAUGAUUGCUCUGAACCCUCAGCUGCUGCCUGCCUAUGGAAUGGAUGAGCUAUGGACUUAAUCUGCAUAAGACUUUGAACCUAGCUGAAUCCUCUGGCUUGAGGAUUAUCAUUAUUUUAUUGCUGUUGCUAUUGUAUGUCAUUAGUCUGGUCGCAAUGCUCCAGUUUUCUCGCCCAGGGACCAUUGCAGAAGAGGGGGAACGAGUAGAUUGUAAGGCAAGAUUUCUGGAGUGAUGGGCUAUGGGUAAAAUUUCAAUAUUUACAGAAUAUCUCACCUGGCUUUAGUACAUUUGCAUAUCCUCAGGGGUGGAGAGAAGUUCAUCUCCAUGUCAAUAGGUAAUUACCUGGGCAACAAAGGGCUUAUUUGUACCUGAGAAGUGAGGGGAAGAGCUGGUUUUGGUUCUGCUGGAGCUGGAAAGAGAAAUGGCCCUGGACUGGUUUGUAAGCAAUAAACGGAUUUUAAACUUUA